Cercocebus atys (sooty mangabey) is the source of this 1483-nucleotide long non-coding RNA. RefSeq lists it as uncharacterized. Lineage: Eukaryota; Metazoa; Chordata; Mammalia; Primates; Cercopithecidae. The record is from RefSeq and is a predicted model, not a curated record. The transcript is spliced from 3 exons.
UACAGGCUUGAGCCACCGCACCUGGCCUAAUCCUAUUUCUUUAUUUCAUAGCCAAACAUUUUCUAAAUGAACAGCUCUAUUGUGAUACAGUUUUCAUAUGAUAAGCCUCACCCUUCAAAGUGUACAGUUGAGUAGUUUUUAGUAUAUUCAGAGUUAUGCAGCCAUUAGCACUACCUAAUUUCAGAAACUUUUCAUCUCCCCAUAAAGAAACCCUGUACCCAUUAGCAGUCACUCCCUAUACCCAUAUCCCCCACCGUUGAUCCUGGCAACCUGUGAUCUAAUUUCUAUCUCUGUAGAUUUGCCUAUCCUGGACAUUUCAUACAAAUAGAAUCAUACAAAAUGUGGCAUUUUGUGACUGACUUUUCUUUACAGUGAUUAAAAAUCAAAUGCCUGAAGAGGCUAAGCUUACCAUAGUGUUUGCUGUACAACUUUGACAACUGAGCUUUUUUAAACUUGAAAAUAUUACUGUGUCUGUAUAUGUGGCAUAUUAUACUUAGAUGACCCUUACUUCGAUUAUUAAAAUUUUUUUCCCUAGCAUUCUUGAACUGUCUCAAUAUUUAGCAGGAACCCUUUGGAGACAAAGAGCCGUAAGAAUUUGGAACACAUAUUGACAAAAUGAACGUAAUUUAAUACAGUAGUAGAGUCAACCACUUUUAGGUGUUGAUGCUGCUGAUAGUGUAUAUUAAGGAAAAGUUUACUUAUCUUAGUUUUUGUGGAAGUACUAGAACUACUUCUGUCUUGUGUUUAGAUUUCAACAAACAUUUGCAUAGGUAUUAUGUGGUUGUACAAAUGUACUUUCCUUUGACCUGAAAAUGCAAAAACUUCCUUUCUUCCCACUUUCUGAGACUCUGCAACUUUAAAGGAAGAGUGGGGUUCUUUAAAGGAAAGGUGGUGAUGGUUGGAUAAUGGGUAACAAUGUCUACAGUAUGCUUUCUUUUCUCAAAACAAGUUCCCAUCUACCAUCAGCAUUUCCAAAAUUUGAAGAUCAAGUGUGGUAUUAACUCAUUAACUAAUGACUAGACUUUGAGCAGUUGUGGAACCAGAAUCUCAGUGAGUGCCUGGAUGUUCCAAUUCUGUUAAAUCAAUGAGCGCACAUUAUAUACAAUACUCUCUUAGCCCAGUGGCAGAUUUAAGGAGUGAGAGAUAGAUUUCUAUGUUUCAGAAAUCAAAUAUACAAAGAAUAAACAUUUUUAAUCCCGUGAUUCUUUGCUCGAGUUUAAUUUUUUGGAGUGUUUUUCUUUCAGAUUUUCUUUCCUUUCCAUUAAACUUUCACUUUGAAAGCUCCCAGGGUUUGGGCAAAGCAAAUGGGAAAGACACUUGCUUGGAUUCUCCAGGGUAUGUGUUGGGUGGAGGAGCAUUAUAUAUGGAACUUCUCACAAAACAGGGCUGAAACAGUGCCUACUCGAUAGAAUCAGUCAUCAUGCAAAUAAAUGCCACCUGAGUCAAAGGCAAAGCCAGUGUGCAGCUUGGAGCAAAGAAGUUA